GAAUGCUGACAUAAGUAACGAUAAAGCGGGUGAAAAGCCCGCUCGCCGGAAGACCAAGGGUUCCUGUCCAACGUUAAUCGGGGCAGGGUGAGUCGACCCCUAAGGCGAGGCCGAAAGGCGUAGUCGAUGGGAAACGGGUUAAUAUUCCCGUACUUGGUGUUACUGCGAAGGGGGGACGGAGAAGGCUAUGUUGGCCGGGCGACGGUUGUCCCGGUUUAAGCGUGUAGGUGUGUGUUCCAGGUAAAUCCGGUUCACUUUAACACUGAGGCGUGACGACGAGGCACUACGGUGCUGAAGCAACAAAUGCCCUGCUUCCAGGAAAAGCCUCUAAGCAUCAGGUAACAUCAAAUCGUACCCCAAACCGACACAGGUGGUCAGGUAGAGAAUACCAAGGCGCUUGAGAGAACUCGGGUGAAGGAACUAGGCAAAAUGGUGCCGUAACUUCGGGAGAAGGCACGCUGACACGUAGGUGAAGUGAUUUACUCAUGGAGCUGAAGUCAGUCGAAGAUACCAGCUGGCUGCAACUGUUUAUUAAAAACACAGCACUGUGCAAACACGAAAGUGGACGUAUACGGUGUGACGCCUGCCCGGUGCCGGAAGGUUAAUUGAUGGGGUCAGCGCAAGCGAAGCUCCUGAUCGAAGCCCCGGUAAACGGCGGCCGUAACUAUAACGGUCCUAAGGUAGCGAAAUUCCUUGUCGGGUAAGUUCCGACCUGCACGAAUGGCGUAAUGAUGGCCAGGCUGUCUCCACCCGAGACUCAGUGAAAUUGAACUCGCUGUGAAGAUGCAGUGUACCCGCGGCAAGACGGAAAGACCCCGUGAACCUUUACUAUAGCUUGACACUGAACAUUGAGCCUUGAUGUGUAGGAUAGGUGGGAGGCUUUGAAGUGUGGACGCCAGUCUGCAUGGAGCCGACCUUGAAAUACCACCCUUUAAUGUUUGAUGUUCUAACGUGGACCCGUUACCCGGGUUGCGGACAGUGUCUGGUGGGUAGUUUGACUGGGGCGGUCUCCUCCUAAAGAGUAACGGAGGAGCACGAAGGUUGGCUAAUCCUGGUCGGACAUCAGGAGGUUAGUGCAAUGGCAUAAGCCAGCUUGACUGCGAGCGUGACGGCGCGAGCAGGUGCGAAAGCAGGUCAUAGUGAUCCGGUGGUUCUGAAUGGAAGGGCCAUCGCUCAACGGAUAAAAGGUACUCCGGGGAUAACAGGCUGAUACCGCCCAAGAGUUCAUAUCGACGGCGGUGUUUGGCACCUCGAUGUCGGCUCAUCACAUCCUGGGGCUGAAGUAGGUCCCAAGGGUAUGGCUGUUCGCCAUUUAAAGUGGUACGCGAGCUGGGUUUAGAACGUCGUGAGACAGUUCGGUCCCUAUCUGCCGUGGGCGCUGGAGAACUGAGGGGGGCUGCUCCUAGUACGAGAGGACCGGAGUGGACGCAUCACUGGUGUUCGGGUUGUCAUGCCAAUGGCACUGCCCGGUAGCUAAAUGCGGAAGAGAUAAGUGCUGAAAGCAUCUAAGCACGAAACUUGCCCCGAGAUGAGUUCUCCCUGAGACUUAGAGUCUCCUGAAGGAACGUUGAAGACGACGACGUUGAUAGGCCGGGUGUGUA
This 1601-nucleotide ribosomal RNA is filed under the name Salmonella enterica subsp. enterica serovar Enteritidis. RNAcentral's name for it is "partial 23S ribosomal RNA". It matches the Rfam family "Bacterial large subunit ribosomal RNA", at positions 1292 to 2871 of the family's 2925-position model. Lineage: Bacteria; Pseudomonadati; Pseudomonadota; Gammaproteobacteria; Enterobacterales; Enterobacteriaceae. The record is from RNAcentral.